CUCUGAUCUGUUUGUGGGUGCUAGUGCCUAAUGAGAUUAACAUUACAAAAUCCAGCCAUUGAAAUUACUUUUAGUGUGAGGUUAGAUUAUACAAUAAACUCUUAGAUUUCCCUUUAUUGGAUAUAAAUUAUUUCUCCAGAAUCCUAACAAUAAUCUGUUAUGCGUAUAUACACAUUGUGGUUAUUCCUGUGAGAGAAUAUGCACUAUAAAAAAACACAACAGCAAUAUUGUGAAUGAGCUCCUGUUUGUGGAUAUACGUUGUGAUGUCACCAGUACAGAAUCCAGCCACUGAGCUCUUGUAAGUGAAUGCUCAACAUGUGAAGUCAGCAUUGCAACAAUUCAUCUCUUUGAUUCAGUCAGUUCAUCUCAUGUGAUUGAAUGUAAAGUGUGAGAUUGGCUUUGCAUAAUCUUGUCACUUGUGGAUGUACAUUGUGAGGUUAACAUUGCAGAUGAAUGAUACAUGACUGUAAACAGUGCCGGCGCAAGGAUAUUUGGCUACACAGAUGAGGAUGUAUUUUGUCUGUUCCAAAAUACAUCUUUGUUGGUCUUUUACAGUUACUCCAUAAGAAAGUAUUGAAAUAAAGCUUUCCUAUGCAUCUUUAAACACUCUUUUAAAAAUCGUUUCCUCUCUAAUGUGAUAGAUACAUUUUUAAAAUUUUAUUUAUGUCAAACUGUAACACAAUUUUUAGCACUGAUAUAUAAUGUGGAAAAGGUUAUGAUAACUUUUACUUUAAUAAUUUUUAGAAGCAAAGUGUGUAUAUAGGUAGAUUAAUUUGGUUAUGGAUAAUAUCAUAUCAAUAAAUUCAUAGGCUUGUGCAGCAUAUUUUGCCUACCUACAUCUUCAUUUUCUUUAUUCUAAUGUCUUUCAUAAUCCUACCCAUUUUCUAAAGCGUAGUCCUACAUUAUUUCAUACAAUUAAUUUAAUUAGUACAUUGUAACCAUAUAACCACACACAUUCCAUCCCAUCUUUGGUGAUCAUUUUAGCACAAUUUAAAAAAUUGUCUCAUAGUGUAAAGUGCAGCAUUUAAAGCAGUUAACAAUUUUUUUUUUUAGAAAUUCCUAUGAGCUCCAUGUCCUAUAUAAUCAACCAUUGUGUUGUUACAUUAAUGAUUGCAACAUACGUAGCUACAUUUAUAGAGAAUUAUAAGGAUUUUCAGUUUAACAAGCUACAUUCUUGAUACAGCGCACAUUUUGUAAGGAUGUGGACUGAGUGUAAAUGCAAGUUGGCCAUCCUCCCUUGGACGAGGUUCUUUGUCGGGUAUCUCGAAUUUAAACUGCUGCAUGAGUGAUGUAAAGAAUAAGAAAAGUUCCAUUCUCGCAAGACUCUCUCCCAGGCAGACCCGCCGACCU
Molecule: non-coding RNA, 1350 nt
Organism: Pelobates cultripes (western spadefoot toad)
Lineage: Eukaryota; Metazoa; Chordata; Amphibia; Anura; Pelobatidae
Source: the annotation of a GenBank genome assembly